GCUCGUGGGGGCUCGUCGCUUGCGGCGGCGCUUCCGGGGGUGCUUAGCCCUUGACUCUUACCUUGAUUAUGCGCACCUUUGUUGUUCCCUCGGCAGGUCCGCCUGCCGACAGGAACCCCAUAAACCCUUUUGUAUAAGCAUCAAACGUCUGAAAACAAAUUUAAUUAUUUACAACUUUCAACAAUGGAUCUCUUGGUUCUGGCAUCGAUGAAGAACGCAGCGAAAUGCGAUAAGUAGUGUGAAUUGCAGAAUUCAGUGAAUCAUCGAAUCUUUGAACGCACAUUGCGCCCCUUGGUAUUCCAUGGGGCAUGCCUGUUCGAGCGUCAUUUACACCCUCAAGCGUUGCUUGGUGUUGGGCGUCUGUCCUGCUGUUUCAGCGUGGACUCGCCCUAAAGGUAUUGGCAGCGGUCUUGCCAGCUUCUCGCGCAGCACAUUGCGCUUCUCGAGGCUCCGGCGGAUCGGCGUCCAUCAAGCCCACAUCACAGUUUGACCUCGGGUCAGGUAGGGAUACCCGCUGAACUUAA
This 524-nucleotide ribosomal RNA is filed under the name uncultured fungus. RNAcentral's name for it is "eukaryotic LSU rRNA". The stretch from base 173 to 326 matches the Rfam family "5.8S ribosomal RNA". Lineage: Eukaryota; Fungi. The record is from RNAcentral.